CAGUCGAACGAAACUUCUUUAUCACCGAGUGCUUGCACUCACCGAUACAGAGUUGAGUGGCGAACGGGUGAGUAACACGUGGGCAACCUGCCCAAAAGAGGGGGAUAACACUUGGAAACAGGUGCUAAUACCGCAUAACCAUAGUUACCGCAUGGUAACUAUGUAAAAGGUGGCUAUGCUACCGCUUUUGGAUGGGCCCGCGGCGCAUUAGCUAGUUGGUGGGGUAAAGGCUUACCAAGGCAAUGAUGCGUAGCCGAACUGAGAGGUUGAUCGGCCACAUUGGGACUGAGACACGGCCCAAACUCCUACGGGAGGCAGCAGUAGGGAAUCUUCCACAAUGGGCGAAAGCCUGAUGGAGCAACGCCGCGUGGGUGAAGAAGGUCUUCGGAUCGUAAAACCCUGUUGUUAGAGAAGAAAGUGCGUGAGAGUAACUGUUCACGUUUCGACGGUAUCUAACCAGAAAGCCACGGCUAACUACGUGCCAGCAGCCGCGGUAAUACGUAGGUGGCAAGCGUUAUCCGGAUUCACUGGGCGUAAAGGGAGCGCAGGCGGCACGGCAAGUCUGGUGUGAAAACCCGGGGCUCAACCCCGGGACUGCAUUGGAAACUGCCGGGCUGGAGUGUCGGAGGGGUAAGCGGAAUUCCUAGUGUAGCGGUGAAAUGCGUAGAUAUUAGGAGGAACACCAGUGGCGAAGGCGGCUUACUGGACGAUGACUGACGCUGAGGCUCGAAAGCGUGGGGAGCAAACAG
This 749-nucleotide ribosomal RNA is filed under the name uncultured bacterium. RNAcentral's name for it is "bacterial SSU rRNA". It matches the Rfam family "Bacterial small subunit ribosomal RNA", at positions 59 to 775 of the family's 1533-position model. The record is from RNAcentral.